AAUAGAUACCCGGGUAGUCCACGCCGUAAACGAUGAGUGCUAAGUGUUAGAGGGUUUCCGCCCUUUAGUGCUGCAGCUAACGCAUUAAGCACUCCGCCUGGGGAGUACGGCCGCAAGGCUGAAACUCAAAGGAAUUGACGGGGGCCCGCACAAGCGGUGGAGCAUGUGGUUUAAUUCGAAGCAACGCGAAGAACCUUACCAGGUCUUGACAUCCUCUGACAACCCUAGAGAUAGGGCUUUCCCCUUCGGGGGACAGAGUGACGGGUGGUGCAUGGUUGUCGUCAGCUCGUGUCGUGAGAUGUUGGGUUAAGUCCCGCAACGAGCGCAACCCUUGAUCUUAGUUGCCAGCAUUCAGUUGGGCACUCUAAGGUGACUGCCGGUGACAAACCGGAGGAAGGUGGGGAUGACGUCAAAUCAUCAUGCCCCUUAUGACCUGGGCUACACACGUGCUACAAUGGAUGGUACAAAGGGCUGCAAACCUGCGAAGGUAAGCGAAUCCCAUAAAGCCAUUCUCAGUUCGGAUUGCAGG
RNAcentral lists this ribosomal RNA (529 nucleotides) under uncultured bacterium. Its description in RNAcentral is "bacterial SSU rRNA". It matches the Rfam family "Bacterial small subunit ribosomal RNA", at positions 777 to 1304 of the family's 1533-position model. The record is from RNAcentral.